RNAcentral lists this ribosomal RNA (253 nucleotides) under uncultured bacterium. RNAcentral describes it as "partial 16S ribosomal RNA". It matches the Rfam family "Bacterial small subunit ribosomal RNA", at positions 524 to 776 of the family's 1533-position model. The record is from RNAcentral.
UACGUAGGGUGCGAGCGUUAAUCGGAAUUACUGGGCGUAAAGCGUGCGCAGGCGGUUUUACAAGCUGGAUGUGAAAGCCCCGGGCUCAACCUGGGAGGUGCAUUCAGGACUGUGAAGCUCGAGUGCGGCAGAGGGAGGUGGAAUUCCAGGUGUAGCAGUGAAAUGCGUAGAGAUCUGGAGGAACACCGAUGGCGAAGGCAGCCUCCUGGGCCGACACUGACGCUCAUGCACGAAAGCGUGGGGAGCAAACAGG